RNAcentral lists this ribosomal RNA (483 nucleotides) under uncultured bacterium. Its description in RNAcentral is "partial 16S ribosomal RNA". It matches the Rfam family "Bacterial small subunit ribosomal RNA", at positions 355 to 829 of the family's 1533-position model. The record is from RNAcentral.
UGGGGAAUUUUGGACAAUGGGCGAAAGCCUGAUCCAGCAAUGCCGCGUGUGUGAAGAAGGCCUUCGGGUUGUAAAGCACUUUUGUCCGGAAAGAAAUCCUUGGCUCUAAUACAGUCGGGGGAUGACGGUACCGGAAGAAUAAGCACCGGCUAACUACGUGCCAGCAGCCGCGGUAAUACGUAGGGUGCAAGCGUUAAUCGGAAUUACUGGGCGUAAAGCGUGCGCAGGCGGUUUGCUAAGACCGAUGUGAAAUCCCCGGGCUCAACCUGGGAACUGCAUUGGUGACUGGCAGGCUAGAGUAUGGCAGAGGGGGGUAGAAUUCCACGUGUAGCAGUGAAAUGCGUAGAGAUGUGGAGGAAUACCGAUGGCGAAGGCAGCCCCCUGGGCCAAUACUGACGCUCAUGCACGAAAGCGUGGGGAGCAAACAGGAUUAGAUACCCUGGUAGUCCACGCCCUAAAACGAUGUCAACUAGUUGUUGGGGA